Molecule: long non-coding RNA, 421 nt
Organism: Sander lucioperca (pikeperch)
Lineage: Eukaryota; Metazoa; Chordata; Actinopteri; Perciformes; Percidae
Exons: 2
Source: RefSeq, a predicted model, not a curated record
UCUGGAGCCCCUUUAUGAUGACCUCGAUCCGGUGAGUAUUAAUUAUUAAUGGCCCAAGGCCUGGCCCCUGUCAAACCUUUGUCAAUACAAUUCUGUUGAAUCUGGUAUAGGGUGAAGGCACAUCUACUGCACAAGAUGAGGAGGAAACCAUAUCAGUGGACUCAAGAAGACAGGAGGACCCAGACCCUGUGCAGGCAGACACUCAGCCUGCCAACAUAGUAAGUAUUACCCUGAAGAACAAAUUCACACCAUGCACAAUUCCUGCUGUAUUUAAGAAAGUAUUGGUCUCUGACCAGUCUCACAGCAGCCAAGUCAUAACUGAUAUGUGUUUUACAGAGUUCCCAAAUGGUCAGGUCCCUAUACACCACACACCUCCAGAAGCAAAUUGAUUUGGCAGAGAUAAAAAUUAAAUUAAAGAAAC